This 414-nucleotide ribosomal RNA is filed under the name uncultured Burkholderia sp. RNAcentral describes it as "bacterial SSU rRNA". It matches the Rfam family "Bacterial small subunit ribosomal RNA", at positions 97 to 504 of the family's 1533-position model. Lineage: Bacteria; Pseudomonadati; Pseudomonadota; Betaproteobacteria; Burkholderiales; Burkholderiaceae. The record is from RNAcentral.
GGCGAACGGGUGAGUAAUACAUCGAGAACGUGUCCUGGAGUGGGGGAUAGCCCGGUGAACCCCGGAUUAAUACCGCAUACGCUCUGUGGAGGAAAGCGGGGGAUCUUUCGGGACCUCGCGCUCAAGGGGCGGCCGAUGGCAGAUUAGGUAGUUGGUGGGGUAAAGGCCUACCAAGCCGACGAUCUGUAGCUGGUCUGAGAGGACGACCAGCCACACUGGGACUGAGACACGGCCCAGACUCCUACNGGAGGCAGCANUGGGGAAUUUUGGACAAUGGGCGCAAGCCUGAUCCAGCAAUGCCGCGUGUGUGAAGAAGGCCUUCGGGUUGUAAAGCACUUUUGUCCGGAAAGAAAACCUCGUGGCUAAUAUCCGUGAGGGAUGACGGUACCGGAAGAAUAAGCACCGGCUAACUAC